UGCUAUAAUGCAGGUCGAGCGAAUGGAUUAAGAGCUUGCUCUUAUGAAGUUAGCGGCGGACGGGUGAGUAACACGUGGGUAACCUGCCCAUAAGACUGGGAUAACUCCGGGAAACCGGGGCUAAUACCGGAUAACAUUUUGAACCGCAUGGUUCGAAAUUGAAAGGCGGCUUCGGCUGUCACUUAUGGAUGGACCCGCGUCGCAUUAGCUAGUUGGUGAGGUAACGGCUCACCAAGGCAACGAUGCGUAGCCGACCUGAGAGGGUGAUCGGCCACACUGGGACUGAGACACGGCCCAGACUCCUACGGGAGGCAGCAGUAGGGAAUCUUCCGCAAUGGACGAAAGUCUGACGGAGCAACGCCGCGUGAGUGAUGAAGGCUUUCGGGUCGUAAAACUCUGUUGUUAGGGAAGAACAAGUGCUAGUUGAAUAAGCUGGCACCUUGACGGUACCUAACCAGAAAGCCACGGCUAACUACGUGCCAGCAGCCGCGGUAAUACGUAGGUGGCAAGCGUUAUCCGGAAUUAUUGGGCGUAAAGCGCGCGCAGGUGGUUUCUUAAGUCUGAUGUGAAAGCCCACGGCUCAACCGUGGAGGGUCAUUGGAAACUGGGAGACUUGAGUGCAGAAGAGGAAAGUGGAAUUCCAUGUGUAGCGGUGAAAUGCGUAGAGAUAUGGAGGAACACCAGUGGCGAAGGCGACUUUCUGGUCUGUAACUGACACUGAGGCGCGAAAGCGUG
RNAcentral lists this ribosomal RNA (735 nucleotides) under Bacillus cereus. RNAcentral describes it as "bacterial SSU rRNA". It matches the Rfam family "Bacterial small subunit ribosomal RNA", at positions 45 to 763 of the family's 1533-position model. The record is from RNAcentral. Lineage: Bacteria; Bacillati; Bacillota; Bacilli; Caryophanales; Bacillaceae.